This 2092-nucleotide ribosomal RNA is filed under the name Klebsiella pneumoniae UCI 37. RNAcentral describes it as "bacterial LSU rRNA". It matches the Rfam family "Bacterial large subunit ribosomal RNA", at positions 856 to 2925 of the family's 2925-position model. The record is from RNAcentral. Lineage: Bacteria; Pseudomonadati; Pseudomonadota; Gammaproteobacteria; Enterobacterales; Enterobacteriaceae.
UCCCCGAAAGCUAUUUAGGUAGCGCCUCGUGAACUCAUCUUCGGGGGUAGAGCACUGUUUCGGCUAGGGGGUCAUCCCGACUUACCAACCCGAUGCAAACUACGAAUACCGAAGAAUGUUAUCACGGGAGACACACGGCGGGUGCUAACGUCCGUCGUGAAGAGGGAAACAACCCAGACCGCCAGCUAAGGUCCCAAAGUCAUGGUUAAGUGGGAAACGAUGUGGGAAGGCACAGACAGCCAGGAUGUUGGCUUAGAAGCAGCCAUCAUUUAAAGAAAGCGUAAUAGCUCACUGGUCGAGUCGGCCUGCGCGGAAGAUGUAACGGGGCUAAACCAUGCACCGAAGCUGCGGCAGCGACACUAUGUGUUGUUGGGUAGGGGAGCGUUCUGUAAGCCUGCGAAGGUGUGCUGUGAGGCAUGCUGGAGGUAUCAGAAGUGCGAAUGCUGACAUAAGUAACGAUAAAGCGGGUGAAAAGCCCGCUCGCCGGAAGACCAAGGGUUCCUGUCCAACGUUAAUCGGGGCAGGGUGAGUCGACCCCUAAGGCGAGGCCGAAAGGCGUAGUCGAUGGGAAACAGGUUAAUAUUCCUGUACUUGGUGUUACUGCGAAGGGGGGACGGAGAAGGCUAUGUUAGCCGGGCGACGGUUGUCCCGGUUUAAGCAUGUAGGCUGGUUAUCCAGGCAAAUCCGGAUAAUCAAGGCUGAGGUGUGAUGACGAGGCACUACGGUGCUGAAGUAACAAAUGCCCUGCUUCCAGGAAAAGCCUCUAAGCAUCAGGUAACAUCAAAUCGUACCCCAAACCGACACAGGUGGUCAGGUAGAGAAUACCAAGGCGCUUGAGAGAACUCGGGUGAAGGAACUAGGCAAAAUGGUGCCGUAACUUCGGGAGAAGGCACGCUGGUGUGUAGGUGAAGUCCCUGCGGAUGGAGCUGAGACCAGUCGAAGAUACCAGCUGGCUGCAACUGUUUAUUAAAAACACAGCACUGUGCAAACACGAAAGUGGACGUAUACGGUGUGACGCCUGCCCGGUGCCGGAAGGUUAAUUGAUGGGGUUAUCCGUAAGGAGAAGCUCUUGAUCGAAGCCCCGGUAAACGGCGGCCGUAACUAUAACGGUCCUAAGGUAGCGAAAUUCCUUGUCGGGUAAGUUCCGACCUGCACGAAUGGCGUAAUGAUGGCCAGGCUGUCUCCACCCGAGACUCAGUGAAAUUGAACUCGCUGUGAAGAUGCAGUGUACCCGCGGCAAGACGGAAAGACCCCGUGAACCUUUACUAUAGCUUGACACUGAACAUUGAGCCUUGAUGUGUAGGAUAGGUGGGAGGCUUUGAAGCGUGGACGCCAGUCUGCGUGGAGCCAACCUUGAAAUACCACCCUUUAAUGUUUGAUGUUCUAACGUUGGCCCCUGACCGGGGUUGCGGACAGUGUCUGGUGGGUAGUUUGACUGGGGCGGUCUCCUCCCAAAGCGUAACGGAGGAGCACGAAGGUUAGCUAAUCCUGGUCGGACAUCAGGAGGUUAGUGCAAUGGCAUAAGCUAGCUUGACUGCGAGCGUGACGGCGCGAGCAGGUGCGAAAGCAGGUCAUAGUGAUCCGGUGGUUCUGAAUGGAAGGGCCAUCGCUCAACGGAUAAAAGGUACUCCGGGGAUAACAGGCUGAUACCGCCCAAGAGUUCAUAUCGACGGCGGUGUUUGGCACCUCGAUGUCGGCUCAUCACAUCCUGGGGCUGAAGUAGGUCCCAAGGGUAUGGCUGUUCGCCAUUUAAAGUGGUACGCGAGCUGGGUUUAGAACGUCGUGAGACAGUUCGGUCCCUAUCUGCCGUGGGCGCUGGAGAAUUGAGGGGGGCUGCUCCUAGUACGAGAGGACCGGAGUGGACGCAUCACUGGUGUUCGGGUUGUCAUGCCAAUGGCACUGCCCGGUAGCUAAAUGCGGAAGAGAUAAGUGCUGAAAGCAUCUAAGCACGAAACUUGCCCCGAGAUGAGUUCUCCCUGAGACUAUAAGUCUCCUGAAGGAACGUUAAAGACGAUGACGUUGAUAGGCCGGGUGUGUAAGCGCAGCGAUGCGUUGAGCUAACCGGUACUAAUGAACCGUGAGGCUUAACCUU